This 784-nucleotide ribosomal RNA is filed under the name uncultured organism. RNAcentral's name for it is "bacterial SSU rRNA". It matches the Rfam family "Bacterial small subunit ribosomal RNA", at positions 720 to 1494 of the family's 1533-position model. The record is from RNAcentral.
AGCGACUCUCUGUCGUGAUACGGACGGUGAGGUGCGAUAGCGUAGGUAGCGAACGGGAUUAGAUAUCCCGGUAGUCUACGCUGUAAAUGAUGAACACUGCAUGGUGGAGGCGUUGAUAGCUUUCUCUGUCGAAGCAACUGCGUUACGCGCCCAACUUCGCGAGUAUGGUCGCUAGACUAGCACUCAAAGGAAUUGACAGAGGUCCACACUAGCGCUGGAGGAUGCGGCUUAAUUUGAGGACACGCGUUAAACCUUACCGAGGUUCGACAAGUAGGGAUUAAUCCGGUGAAAGCCGGAGGAUUGCCGUACGGUGUAACUUACACAGGUGGAGCAUGGCUGUGGACAGUUCGUGUCGUGAGAUGUUAGGUUAAGUCCUGAAACGAGCGAAACCCUUGUUCUUAAUUGCCAGCGCGUUAUGGCGGGGACUUUUGGCAGACUCCCUCGGCUAACGGGGAGGAAGGUGGGGGAGUCGUCAAGUCAGCAUGGCCCCUAUACGUCGGGCUGCACGCGUCCUACAAUGGGCAGUACAAACAGGACCGAUCCCGCGAGGGGGAGGAAAUCUGUAAAGCUGCUGUCAUUUCGGAUAGCAGGGUGAAACCCGCCUGCAAGAAGGAUGAAUCGCUAGUAAUGGCCGGUCAGCUAUACGGCGGUGAAUCUGUCCCUGGUCCUGGUACACACCGCCCGUCAAACCACCCGAGUUGGGCGCACUGGAAGUCCGAGAGUCAACCGUUUAUGGAGAGAUCGGCCGAAGCUGAUCCUGAUGAGGUCGUCUAAGUCCUAACAA